GUUAAAAUGACAGCUUGUAAUUCUCUCAUUCCAUUAUAAUACCUGAAUGGAAAGAGUGUCAGGGGCUAGGCUGCUGAAAUUGAACUUUGUACUAAAUGUACAUUAAAUCUAUAGCUAGGUGAAGCUUCUUUAUGAUACUUCAGACUGUCAGAAAAGUAUCAGUUAAUUCUUCCUUUUGCCUGGCAGAAGGAAUUAACAAAAAUCAUUUGGAUUUUCUUGGAAUCUGAAUGCACACAAAUCCAUCAACUAAGAUUGAAACAUUGUU
This 265-nucleotide unclassified non-coding RNA is filed under the name Hevea brasiliensis (rubber tree). Lineage: Eukaryota; Viridiplantae; Streptophyta; Magnoliopsida; Malpighiales; Euphorbiaceae. The record is from RNAcentral.